GGGGAUAUAGCUUGGUGGUAGAGUGCUUGCCUAGCAUACAUGAAGCCCUGGGUUCAAACCUCAGUACCUCA
Molecule: transfer RNA, 71 nt
Filed under: Fukomys damarensis (Damara mole-rat)
Lineage: Eukaryota; Metazoa; Chordata; Mammalia; Rodentia; Bathyergidae
Rfam family: tRNA
About the family: Transfer RNA (tRNA) molecules are approximately 80 nucleotides in length. Their secondary structure includes four short double-helical elements and three loops (D, anti-codon, and T loops). Further hydrogen bonds mediate the characteristic L-shaped molecular structure. tRNAs have two regions of fundamental functional importance: the anti-codon, which is responsible for specific mRNA codon recognition, and the 3' end, to which the tRNAs corresponding amino acid is attached (by aminoacyl-tRNA synthetases). tRNAs cope with the degeneracy of the genetic code in two manners: having more than one tRNA (with a specific anti-codon) for a particular amino acid; and 'wobble' base-pairing, i.e. permitting non-standard base-pairing at the 3rd anti-codon position.
Source: Rfam by way of RNAcentral